UACAGAGGUCCCAAGCGUUGUUCGGAAUUAUUGGGCGUAAAGGGUGCGUAGGCGGCCUGACAAGUCUGAUGUGAAAUCCCUGGGCUCAACCCAGGGCCUGCAUCGGAAACUGUCGGGCUUGAGUAUGGGAGAGGUGAGUGGAAUUUCCGGUGUAGCGGUGAAAUGCGUAGAUAUCGGAAGGAACACCUGUGGCGAAAGCGGCUCACUGGACCAUUACUGACGCUGAGGCACGAAAGCUAGGGGAGCAAACAGG
RNAcentral lists this ribosomal RNA (253 nucleotides) under uncultured bacterium. Its description in RNAcentral is "partial 16S ribosomal RNA". It matches the Rfam family "Bacterial small subunit ribosomal RNA", at positions 524 to 776 of the family's 1533-position model. The record is from RNAcentral.